GACGAACGCUGGCGGCGUGCUUAACACAUGCAAGUCGAACGGAAAGGCCCUGCUUUUGUGGGGUGCUCGAGUGGCGAACGGGUGAGUAACACGUGAGUAACCUGCCCUUGACUUUGGGAUAACUUCAGGAAACUGGGGCUAAUACCGGAUAGGAGCUCCUGCUGCAUGGUGGGGGUUGGAGAGUUUCGGCGGUUGGGGAUGGACUCGCGGCUUAUCAGCUUGUUGGUGGGGUAGUGGCUUACCAAGGCUUUGACGGGUAGCCGGCCUGAGAGGGUGACCGGCCACAUUGGGACUGAGAUACGGCCCAGACUCCUACGGGAGGCAGCAGUGGGGAAUAUUGCACAAUGGGCGGAAGCCUGAUGCAGCAACGCCGCGUGCGGGAUGACGGCCUUCGGGUUGUAAACCGCUUUCGCCUGUGACGAAGCGUGAGUGACGGUAAUGGGUAAAGAAGCACCGGCUAACUACGUGCCAGCAGCCGCGGUGAUACGUAGGGUGCGAGCGUUGUCCGGAUUUAUUGGGCGUAAAGGGCUCGUAGGUGGUUGAUCGCGUCGGAAGUGUAAUCUUGGGGCUUAACCCUGAGCGUGCUUUCGAUACGGGUUGACUUGAGGAAGGUAGGGGAGAAUGGAAUUCCUGGUGGAGCGGUGGAAUGCGCAGAUAUCAGGAGGAACACCAGUGGCGAAGGCGGUUCUCUGGGCCUUUCCUGACGCUGAGGAGCGAAAGCGUGGGGAGCGAACAGGCUUAGAUACCCUGGUAGUCCACGCUGUAAACGGUGGGUACUAGGUGUGGGGUCCAUUCCACGGGUUCCGUGCCGUAGCUAACGCUCUAAGUACCCCGCCUGGGGAGUACGGCCGCAAGGCUAAAACUCAAAGGAAUUGACGGGGCCCCGCACAAGCGGCGGAGCAUGCGGAUUGAUUCGAUGCAACGCGUAGAACCUUACCUGGGUUUGACAUGGAUCGGGAGUGCUCAGAGAUGGGUGUGCCUCUUUUGGGGUCGGUUCACAGGUGGUGCAUGGCUGUCGUCAGCUCGUGUCGUGAGAUGUUGGGUUAAGUCCCGCAACGAGCGCAACCCUUGUUCACUGUUGCCAGCACGUUAUGGUGGGGACUCAGUGGAGACCGCCGGGGUCAACUCGGAGGAAGGUGGGGAUGACGUCAAGUCAUCAUGCCCCUUAUGUCCAGGGCUUCACGCAUGCUACAAUGGCUGGUACAGAGAGUGGCGAGCCUGUGAGGGUGAGCGAAUCUCGGAAAGCCGGUCUCAGUUCGGAUUGGGGUCUGCAACUCGACCUCAUGAAGUCGGAGUCGCUAGUAAUCGCAGAUCAGCAACGCUGCGGUGAAUACGUUCCCGGG
RNAcentral lists this ribosomal RNA (1343 nucleotides) under uncultured bacterium. RNAcentral's name for it is "16S ribosomal RNA". It matches the Rfam family "Bacterial small subunit ribosomal RNA", at positions 28 to 1378 of the family's 1533-position model. The record is from RNAcentral.